GAUUGAACGCUGGCGGCAGGCCUAACACAUGCAAGUCGAGCGGAUGAAGGGAGCUUGCUCCUGGAUUCAGCGGCGGACGGGUGAGUAAUGCCUAGGAAUCUGCCUGGUAGUGGGGGAUAACGUCCGGAAACGGGCGCUAAUACCGCAUACGUCCUGAGGAAGAAAGUGGGGGAUCUUCGGACCUCACGCUAUCAGAUGAGCCUAGGUCGGAUUAGCUAGUUGGUGGGGUAAAGGCCUACCAAGGCGACGAUCCGUAACUGGUCUGAGAGGAUGAUCAGUCACACUGGAACUGAGACACGGUCCAGACUCCUACGGGAGGCAGCAGUGGGGAAUAUUGGACAAUGGGCGAAAGCCUGAUCCAGCCAUGCCGCGUGUGUGAAGAAGGUCUUCGGAUUGUAAAGCACUUUAAGUUGGGAGGAAGGGCAGUAAGUUAAUACCUUGCUGUUUUGACGUUACCAACAGAAUAAGCACCGGCUAACUUCGUG
This 485-nucleotide ribosomal RNA is filed under the name uncultured bacterium. RNAcentral describes it as "partial 16S ribosomal RNA". It matches the Rfam family "Bacterial small subunit ribosomal RNA", at positions 27 to 507 of the family's 1533-position model. The record is from RNAcentral.